UUUCAGGGAUGGGAAUCGAACCCACAGUGUUCCGCUUACCAGGCAGAUGCCAUUUCCAAUAGGUUUCCCUAGU
This is a non-coding RNA of Cordylochernes scorpioides, 73 nucleotides long. Lineage: Eukaryota; Metazoa; Arthropoda; Arachnida; Pseudoscorpiones; Chernetidae. The record is from the annotation of a GenBank genome assembly.